AUUGAACGCUGGCGGCAGGCCUAACACAUGCAAGUCGAACGGUAACAGGAAGCAGCUUGCUGCUUCGCUGACGAGUGGCGGACGGGUGAGUAAUGUCUGGGAAACUGCCUGAUUGAGGGGGAUAACUACUGGAAACGGUAGCUAAUACCGCAUAACGUCGCAAGACCAAAGAGGGGGACCUUAGGGCCUCUUGCCAUCGGAUGUGCCCAGAUGGGAUUAGCUAGUAGGUGGGGUAACGGCUCACCUAGGCGACGAUCCCUAGCUGGUCUGAGAGGAUGACCAGCCACACUGGAACUGAGACACGGUCCAGACUCCUACGGGAGUCAGCAGUGGGGAAUAUUGGACAAUGGGCGCAAGCCUGAUGCAGCCAUGCCGCGUGUAUGAAGAAGGCCUUCGGGUUGUAAAGUACUUUCAGCGGGGAGGAAGGGAGUAAAGUUAAUACCUUUGCUCAUUGAUGUUACCCGCAGAAGAAGCACCGGCUAACUCCGUG
Molecule: ribosomal RNA, 490 nt
Filed under: uncultured bacterium
Lineage: Bacteria
Description: partial 16S ribosomal RNA
Rfam family: Bacterial small subunit ribosomal RNA
Source: RNAcentral